This 613-nucleotide ribosomal RNA is filed under the name Salmonella enterica. RNAcentral's name for it is "partial 23S ribosomal RNA". It matches the Rfam family "Bacterial large subunit ribosomal RNA", at positions 2211 to 2823 of the family's 2925-position model. RNAcentral also lists the same sequence under 2 other names. Lineage: Bacteria; Pseudomonadati; Pseudomonadota; Gammaproteobacteria; Enterobacterales; Enterobacteriaceae. The record is from RNAcentral.
UGUUUGAUGUUCUAACGUGGACCCGUGAUCCGGGUUGCGGACAGUGUCUGGUGGGUAGUUUGACUGGGGCGGUCUCCUCCUAAAGAGUAACGGAGGAGCACGAAGGUUGGCUAAUCCUGGUCGGACAUCAGGAGGUUAGUGCAAUGGCAUAAGCCAGCUUGACUGCGAGCGUGACGGCGCGAGCAGGUGCGAAAGCAGGUCAUAGUGAUCCGGUGGUUCUGAAUGGAAGGGCCAUCGCUCAACGGAUAAAAGGUACUCCGGGGAUAACAGGCUGAUACCGCCCAAGAGUUCAUAUCGACGGCGGUGUUUGGCACCUCGAUGUCGGCUCAUCACAUCCUGGGGCUGAAGUAGGUCCCAAGGGUAUGGCUGUUCGCCAUUUAAAGUGGUACGCGAGCUGGGUUUAGAACGUCGUGAGACAGUUCGGUCCCUAUCUGCCGUGGGCGCUGGAGAACUGAGGGGGGCUGCUCCUAGUACGAGAGGACCGGAGUGGACGCAUCACUGGUGUUCGGGUUGUCAUGCCAAUGGCACUGCCCGGUAGCUAAAUGCGGAAGAGAUAAGUGCUGAAAGCAUCUAAGCACGAAACUUGCCCCGAGAUGAGUUCUCCCUGAGACUU